UUCCUCCCUUCUAGCACAUAACUAAAAUUGGAAUAACACAGAGAAGAUUAGCAUGGUCCCCACACAGGGAUGUCACACAGAUUCAUGAACUGUUCCAUGUUAAA
This 104-nucleotide small nuclear RNA is filed under the name Mus pahari (shrew mouse). Lineage: Eukaryota; Metazoa; Chordata; Mammalia; Rodentia; Muridae. The record is from RNAcentral.